RNAcentral lists this long non-coding RNA (331 nucleotides) under Elaeis guineensis (African oil palm). Its description in RNAcentral is "long non-coding RNA (EGUI_LNC048235)". The record is from RNAcentral. Lineage: Eukaryota; Viridiplantae; Streptophyta; Magnoliopsida; Arecales; Arecaceae.
UAUAAAUAGAGGAAGUGGCACGUGGCUUAUGCUGGUAUGUGGGUUGGCAUGGCGUGUGACUUUUUGGUGUUGGGAUCAAGUGCUGGUAAGGUGUGGGAAUUGGAUGCAGAUGUUGGACCAAGAGCUGAGAGAUUUAAAUGCAUAGCUGACAAGUUAAUAAAAACGGCAUCCAUGCGAUUUGUGCACGAGUUAGGAGCUUGCAAUGAAGACGUUAUGAAGCAAGCAAAACUAAUGCAGGAGCUACAGAACAGAUGUGAGAACAUGGUGCAGAAGCAUUUACGUGACUCGGAUGCGGCUUGGAGCUUUAUUAAAAGAAAAACCACAAGAGCGA